RNAcentral lists this ribosomal RNA (495 nucleotides) under uncultured bacterium. RNAcentral describes it as "partial 16S ribosomal RNA". It matches the Rfam family "Bacterial small subunit ribosomal RNA", at positions 899 to 1397 of the family's 1533-position model. The record is from RNAcentral.
ACUCAAAGGAAUAGACGGGGACCCGCACAAGCGGUGGAUGAUGUGGAUUAAUUCGAUGCAACGCGAAGAACCUUACCUACCCUUGACAUGCCAGGGAGCCUCUUGAGAAAGAGGUGUGCCCGAAAGGGAACCUGGACACAGGUGCUGCAUGGCUGUCGUCAGCUCGUGUCGUGAGAUGUUGGGUUAAGUCCCGCAACGAGCGCAACCCUUGUCACUAGUUGCUACGAAAGGGCACUCUAGUGAGACUGCCGGUGACAAACCGGAGGAAGGUGGGGAUGACGUCAAGUCCUCAUGGCCCUUAUGGGUAGGGCUUCACACGUCAUACAAUGGCGCAUACAGAGGGCUGCCAACCCGCGAGGGGGAGCCAAUCCCAGAAAGUGCGUCGUAGUCCGGAUUGCAGUCUGCAACUCGACUGCAUGAAGUCGGAAUCGCUAGUAAUCGCGGAUCAGCAAUGUCGCGGUGAAUACGUUCCCGGGUCUUGCACACACCGCCCGU